This 26-nucleotide non-coding RNA is filed under the name Homo sapiens (human). Lineage: Eukaryota; Metazoa; Chordata; Mammalia; Primates; Hominidae. The record is from RNAcentral.
UUGUAACAUUUCAUGGUUGCAAUGGA